AUUGAACGCUGGCGGCAUGCUUUACACAUGCAAGUCGAACGGCAGCACAAACUUCGGUUUGGUGGCGAGUGGCGAACGGGUGAGUAAUGCAUCGGAACGUGCCCUAAAGUGGGGGAUAACGCAUCGAAAGAUGCGCUAAUACCGCAUAAUCUCUGAGGAGAAAAGUGGGGGAUCGAAAGACCUCAUGCUUUUGGAGCGGCCGAUGUCUGAUUAGCUAGUUGGUGGGGUAAUGGCCUACCAAGGCGACGAUCAGUAGUUGGUCUGAGAGGAUGGCCAGCCACACUGGGACUGAGACACGGCCCAGACUCCUACGGGAGGCAGCAGUGGGGAAUUUUGGACAAUGGGCGAAAGCCUGAUCCAGCAAUGCCGCGUGAGUGAAGAAGGCCUCGGUGUAAGACUCUUCUAGUUGUAGAAGAAAAAUUAAGUAGACGUAAUACUUAGUCAAUU
RNAcentral lists this ribosomal RNA (447 nucleotides) under uncultured bacterium. Its description in RNAcentral is "bacterial SSU rRNA". It matches the Rfam family "Bacterial small subunit ribosomal RNA", at positions 30 to 477 of the family's 1533-position model. The record is from RNAcentral.